UAGGUUUGUCCUAAGUCAAACUUCCUUAACUUUGACCAAGCUUAUAAAAAAUAAUUACCAAUAUCCACAACAUCAAAUAUGUAUAGUAUGAAAAUAUACUUUAUGAUCAAUUUAAUAAAACUAAUUUGGUCUUGUAAAUGUUUGUAUAUUUUUCUAUAGACUUGGUCAAACUAAAAAAAUGUUUGACUUAGGACAACCUAGA
Molecule: non-coding RNA, 202 nt
Organism: Triticum aestivum (bread wheat)
Lineage: Eukaryota; Viridiplantae; Streptophyta; Magnoliopsida; Poales; Poaceae
Source: Rfam